GUGCACGCUUUGGCAGCACGUACACCGACAUUGGAACGAUACGGAGAAGAUUAGCAUGGCCCCUGCACAAGGAUGACACGCAGAUCCUUGAAGCGUUCCAUAAUUAA
Small nuclear RNA from Pipistrellus kuhlii (Kuhl's pipistrelle), 107 nucleotides. Lineage: Eukaryota; Metazoa; Chordata; Mammalia; Chiroptera; Vespertilionidae. The record is from RefSeq and is a predicted model, not a curated record.